AAUUUCCUACGGGAGGCAGCAGUGGGGAAUAUUGCACAAUGGGGGAAACCCUGAUGCAGCGACGCCGCGUGAGUGAAGAAGUAUUUCGGUAUGUAAAGCUCUAUCAGCAGGGAAGAAAUACUGACCUUACGGUCAGCAGACGGUACCUGACUAAGAAGCCCCGGCUAACUACGUGCCAGCAGCCGCGGUAAUACGUAGGGAGCGAGCGUUGUCCGGAUUUACUGGGUGUAAAGGGUGCGCAGGCGGCUCUGCAAGUCAGGCGUGAAAGCUAGGGGCUCAACCCCUAAACUGCGCUUGAAACUGUG
This 305-nucleotide ribosomal RNA is filed under the name uncultured bacterium. RNAcentral describes it as "bacterial SSU rRNA". It matches the Rfam family "Bacterial small subunit ribosomal RNA", at positions 333 to 637 of the family's 1533-position model. The record is from RNAcentral.